This 357-nucleotide long non-coding RNA is filed under the name Gossypium raimondii (Peruvian cotton). Its description in RNAcentral is "long non-coding RNA (GRAI_LNC000049)". Lineage: Eukaryota; Viridiplantae; Streptophyta; Magnoliopsida; Malvales; Malvaceae. The record is from RNAcentral.
UUUUGGGUCGGCUAACCGAAUACACACCCCUAUAAUUAACAUGCUUGAUGAGGAUAUGUGUUUAGGCAAUUGGCCAAAUUGGUUUGAUCAUGUUUAGUUAGCUUACCUUAAAUGUGAAAUAAAUGGUAAGUUAAUUUCCUGUUAUACGAACUAAGUAUUAAAUGCUUACUUUGUUUUCUUUCCUCUGUUUUAUAGUAACCUGGAAGCUCGUUAAGGUUAGAAGUUGGUCGGAGCCACAUCACACUAUCAAUCGCCCUUUUUCGGUAUAUUUAUUAAAUCAACUUUGAUAUAAUGACAUGUAUAGGUUAAUUUGGCCAAUGAUGGCAUGUAAAUGUUUUGUUGUGAUUAGCCAUUUGA